Molecule: transfer RNA, 61 nt
Filed under: Vibrio alginolyticus
Lineage: Bacteria; Pseudomonadati; Pseudomonadota; Gammaproteobacteria; Vibrionales; Vibrionaceae
Description: tRNA-Pro
Rfam family: tRNA
About the family: Transfer RNA (tRNA) molecules are approximately 80 nucleotides in length.
Source: RNAcentral
AUAGCGCAGCUUGGUAGCGCAUCUGGUUUGGGACCAGAGGGUCGGGGGUUCGAAUCCCUCU